AAAAUGCAAUGUGCAAUUUAUUUUCGGUUUCAAUACAUUAUUUUACGCUGUCAAUAUUGUGCAAUUGUUGUCUGAUCAUCAUAAAAAAAUCAUAUUAAAUUUCGCCAAUCCCCUGGAAUUUUACGCCCAAAUGAAAAUCAACUUCCGAUCGAAGAUUUGAGCGCGACAACUACCACAGAAGAUUAGCCGACCUAAAGCCACUUCUCCAGCAGAAGGAAGGUAGCCCGAUUGUUUUUCAGACCUGGGAGGUGGCAUCUUUGUUUCGUAAUGACAGUGACUCUGCAGUGAGAUUGGUACCUCUUAGACGGUUGCUCAGUGGGUGUGUUGUCUUCGAGCCCUUGGGUACGUUUCAGUAGAAUGGAUAUAUGAAUUUAUUUCUUUUUAUCACAUUUGAAAUACAAGAAAUGUUAUAUGCUCUAAUUUAGGUUAUGCUAUACAGUUGAGUAUUUGAGUCAUUUGACUUUAUUUGAAGCACAAUGAUUUCUUUCCUCUUAUUGAAUUAUAAAUGAAUCUUGAAAUCUUGAUGUUAGACAUGCAUGGAUUUGGUAGUUCAGAUGAUGUUCAUAAAUUUGGUAAUAAGACAAAAUGUAAACAAGCUCUCGUGUAAACACAAAUGAAGUCGAGAUUUAUCAAGUAAUCAAUAGAACAGCAUAGAUUGGUAUACAGUUGAAAGGAUAACUUCAUGCAUUGAUAAUUUGAUAUGCAACUUUUAUCACAUGUUGUAAUCAUCGUUACUGAGUUUAUAAAACGUGUAACUGCAUGUUAA
Molecule: long non-coding RNA, 766 nt
Organism: Lytechinus pictus (painted urchin)
Lineage: Eukaryota; Metazoa; Echinodermata; Echinoidea; Temnopleuroida; Toxopneustidae
Exons: 3
Source: RefSeq, a predicted model, not a curated record